ACGAGCGGCGAACGGGUGAGUAACACGUGAGCAAUCUGCCCUUCUCUUUGGAAUAACCAUUGGAAACGAUGGCUAAUACCGGAUACGACCGACCUACGCAUGUGGUGUUGGUGGAAACUUUUAUGGGUGGGGGAUGUGCUCGCGGCCUAUCAGCUUGUUGGUGGGGUAAUGGCCUACCAAGGCUUCGACGGGUAGCCGGCCUGAGAGGGUGAUCGGCCACACUGGGACUGAGACACGGCCCAGACUCCUACGGGAGGCAGCAGUGGGGAAUAUUGGACAAUGGGCGAAAGCCUGAUCCAGCCAUUCCGCGUGAGUGAAGAAGGCCUUCGGGUUGUAAAGCUCUUUCGCAAGAGAAGAAAGAUUAUUUUUUAAUAGAAGAUGAUUAUGACGGUAUCUUGAUAAGAAGCACCGGCUAACUACGUGCCAGCAGCCGCGGUAAUACGUAGGGUGCGAGCGUUAAUCGGAAUUACUGGGCGUAAAGCGUGCGCA
This 489-nucleotide ribosomal RNA is filed under the name uncultured bacterium. RNAcentral's name for it is "bacterial SSU rRNA". It matches the Rfam family "Bacterial small subunit ribosomal RNA", at positions 91 to 573 of the family's 1533-position model. The record is from RNAcentral.